UGUCAGUUAUACAACUGACGGAAGUGGAAUUAACCACAUGGAAGUAUAAUGUUAUGAGUCGACCGUCUGGGCAGCCCCU
RNAcentral lists this non-coding RNA (79 nucleotides) under Eggerthia catenaformis. Its description in RNAcentral is "ZTP sequence". It matches the Rfam family "ZMP/ZTP riboswitch aptamer (pfl RNA motif)". From Rfam's summary of the family: Previously known as pfl RNA. RNAcentral also lists the same sequence under 1 other name. The record is from RNAcentral. Lineage: Bacteria; Bacillati; Bacillota; Erysipelotrichia; Erysipelotrichales; Coprobacillaceae.